This 2876-nucleotide ribosomal RNA is filed under the name Moraxella bovoculi. RNAcentral's name for it is "bacterial LSU rRNA". It matches the Rfam family "Bacterial large subunit ribosomal RNA". Lineage: Bacteria; Pseudomonadati; Pseudomonadota; Gammaproteobacteria; Moraxellales; Moraxellaceae. The record is from RNAcentral.
GUUGUAUGGUCAAGUAAUGAAGUGCACAUGGUGGAUGCCUUGGCAGUCAGAGGCGAUGAAAGACGUGAUAGCCUGCGAUAAGCGUCGGUGAGGUGGCAAUAUCCUGUGACCCGGCGAUUUCUGAAUGGGGAAACCCACUUAUCAUAAGAUAGGUAUUCUAUCCUUUGGAUAGAAGGCGAACCGGGAGAAGUGAAACAUCUCAGUACCCCGAGGAAAAGACAUCAAUAGAGAUUCCCCAAGUAGCGGCGAGCGAACGGGGAGUAGCCGAUCAAACUUGUAGUAGCAAAAUGGCGUGGGAAAGCCAACCAUAGUAGGUGAUAGUCCUGUAUGCGAAACUGCAAAUGCGACAUAUUAAGUAGGGCGAGACACGUGAAAUCUUGUCUGAAGAUGGGGGGACCAUCCUCCAAGGCUAAAUACUCCUGACUGACCGAUAGUGAACCAGUACCGUGAGGGAAAGGCGAAAAGAACCCCUGUUAGGGGAGUGAAAUAGAACCUGAAACCGUGUGCAUACAAGCAGUCGGAGCCCACUUGUUGGGUGACGGCGUACCUUUUGUAUAAUGGGUCAGCGACUUAUAUUCUGUAGCAAGGUUAACCGUUUAGGGGAGCCGUAGGGAAACCGAGUCUUAAUAGGGCGAUUAAGUUGCAGGGUAUAGACCCGAAACCGAGUGAUCUAUCCAUGAGCAGGUUGAAAGUGCCGUAACAGGCACCGGAGGACCGAACCCACUGUCGUUGAAAAGCCAGGGGAUGACUUGUGGAUAGGGGUGAAAGGCUAAUCAAACUCGGUGAUAGCUGGUUCUCCCCGAAAGCUAUUUAGGUAGCGCCUCGGACGAACACCAUUGGGGGUAGAGCACUGUUUCGGCUAGGGGGUCAUCCCGACUUACCAAACCGAUGCAAACUCCGAAUACCGAUGAGUGAUAUCCGGGAGACAGACGGCGGGUGCUAACGUCCGUCGUCAAGAGGGAAACAACCCAGACCGCCAGCUAAGGCCCCAAAUUCCUAGUUAAGUGGGAAACGAUGUGGGAAGGCACAGACAGCUAGGAUGUUGGCUUAGAAGCAGCCAUCAUUUAAAGAAAGCGUAAUAGCUCACUAGUCGAGUCGGCCUGCGCGGAAGAUGUAACGGGGCUCAAACUAGGAGCCGAAGCUGCGGAUUUAAUUGUUUCAAUUAAGUGGUAGGGGAGCGUUGUGUAAGCCUGUGAAGGUGUAUCGUAAGGUAUGCUGGAGGUAUCACAAGAGCGAAUGCUGACGUGAGUAACGACAAAACGGGUGAAAAGCCCGUUCGCCGGAAGACCAAGGGUUCCAGUCCAACGUUAAUCGGGGCUGGGUGAGUCGACCCCUAAGGCGAGGCCGAAAGGCGUAGUCGAUGGGAAAUCGGUUAAUAUUCCGAUACUUGUUUAUGAUGCGAUGGAGGGACGGAGAAGGUUAUGUCAGCCUGGCGUUGGUUGUCCAGGUGGAAGGAUGUAGGUAGGUUUAGUAGGCAAAUCCGCUAGACUAUUACUGAGAUCUGAUAGCAAGCCAGUUUACUGGCGAAGUGGCAAAUACCCUGCUUCCAGGAAAAGCUUCUAAGCGAUAGUCAUAAACAAAUCGUACCCGAAACCGACACAGGUGGUCAGGUAGAGAAUACCAAGGCGCUUGAGAGAACUCUGCUGAAGGAACUAGGCAAAAUGGUACCGUAACUUCGGGAGAAGGUACGCUGCCGAUGGUGAUUAAACUUGCUUUAUGAGCUGUUGGCAGUCGCAGAUACCAGGCUGCUGCAACUGUUUAUUAAAACACAGCACUCUGCAAACACGAAAGUGGACGUAUAGGGUGUGAUGCCUGCCCGGUGCUGGAAGGUUAAUUGAUGGGGUUAGCGUAUGCGAAGCUCUUGAUCGAAGCCCCAGUAAACGGCGGCCGUAACUAUAACGGUCCUAAGGUAGCGAAAUUCCUUGUCGGGUAAGUUCCGACCUGCACGAAUGGCAUAAUGAUGGCAGCGCUGUCUCCAGCAGAGACUCAGUGAAAUCGAAAUCGCAGUGAAGAUGCUGUGUACCCGCGGCUAGACGGAAAGACCCCGUGAACCUUUACUACAGCUUUACAUUGAACUUUGACCUAACUUGUGUAGGAUAGGUGGGAGGCUUUGAAGUGGCGACGCCAGUUGCCAUGGAGCCAUCCUUGAAAUACCACCCUGGUUAUGUUGGGGUUCUAACUUGAGAUUAACAGAUCUAAGGACAAUGUAUGGUGGGUAGUUUGACUGGGGCGGUCUCCUCCUAAAGAGUAACGGAGGAGUACGAAGGUGCGCUCAGAACGGUCGGAAAUCGUUCAAAGAGUAUAAAGGCAAAAGCGCGCUUAACUGCGAGACCCACAAGUCGAGCAGGUACGAAAGUAGGUCUUAGUGAUCCGGUGGUUCUGUAUGGAAGGGCCAUCGCUCAACGGAUAAAAGGUACUCUGGGGAUAACAGGCUGAUACCGCCCAAGAGUUCAUAUCGACGGCGGUGUUUGGCACCUCGAUGUCGGCUCAUCUCAUCCUGGGGCUGAAGCAGGUCCCAAGGGUAUGGCUGUUCGCCAUUUAAAGAGGUACGCGAGCUGGGUUUAGAACGUCGUGAGACAGUUCGGUCCCUAUCUACCGUGGGCGUUGGAAAUUUGAGAGGAUCUGCUCCUAGUACGAGAGGACCAGAGUGGACGAACCUCUGGUGUUCCGGUUGUUUCGCCAGAAGCAUCGCCGGGUAGCUACGUUCGGAUGGGAUAACCGCUGAAAGCAUCUAAGCGGGAAGCCCACCUCAAGAUAAGAUUUCCCUAAAGAGCCGUUGUAGACUACGACGUUGAUAGGUUGGGUGUGGAAGCAUGGUGACAUGUGUAGCUAACCAAUACUAAUUGCUCGUUUGGCUUGACCAUACAACACCCAAG